AAGGUUUUAUUCUUGCUUAAAAAUUUAUUUAUAGUUUAUUUUACAUGUAAAUUUUUGUGGGUGCUAUUAUAAAAUUUUAAAAAUUUUAUUUUUAUUUUAUUCGCAGUAAUUAAUUUUAAUUAUUAAGGAAACUUAGAAUUAGUAAUAUUAUAUAAUACUGGCAAAUUUUGUGCCAGCUGCCGCGGUUAUACAAAAAGUAUAAGUAAAUGAUUAUUGGUAAUAGUUCAAUUUAUUAAAUAAAAAUAAAUAUAAAUUUAUUAAGUGAAAUUUUAUAUUUAUAAAAAUUUUAAUUUUAAAGUUAAUUUAAGCUAUGAAAUUUUAAAAUUUAAACUAGGAUUAGAUACCCUAUUAUUUUAAAAUGUAAAUUUAUUUAUAGGCCUGAGUAGUAUAAGUUAAGAUCUUGAAACUUAAAGAAUUUGGCGGUGUUUUAGUCUAUUCAGAGGAACUUGUUCUGUAAUUGAUGAUCCACGAUGAACCUAACUUAUAUUUGUUUACAGCUUGUAUACCGCCGUCGUCAGAAUAUCUUAGGAGAGAAAUAAUUUUCUAAAAUUUUUAUUAAAUUUAAUGUCAGGUCAAGGUGCAGUUAAUGUAUAAGAAGAAAUGAGUUACAAUAAAUUUAAUUAUAUGGAUAAUUAAUUGAAAUUUUAAUUUAAAAGUGGAUUUGAUAGUAAAUAAAUAAAGAUAAUUUAAUUGAUUUUAGCUCUAAAACAUGUACAUAUCGCCCGUCGCUCUCAUUAUUUAAAAUGAGAUAAGUCGUAACAUAGUAGAUGUACUGGAAAGUGUAUCUAGAUAGA
RNAcentral lists this non-coding RNA (794 nucleotides) under Bittacomorphella fenderiana. Lineage: Eukaryota; Metazoa; Arthropoda; Insecta; Diptera; Ptychopteridae. The record is from RNAcentral.